AGAUUAAGUUAUUAAGGGCGCACGGUGGAUGCCUUGGCACUAGAAGCCGAUGAAGGACGUUACUAACGACGAUAUGCUUUGGGGAGCUGUAAGUAAGCUUUGAUCCAGAGAUUUCCGAAUGGGGAAACCCAGCAUGAGUUAUGUCAUGUUAUCGAUAUGUGAAUACAUAGCAUAUCAGAAGGCACACCCGGAGAACUGAAACAUCUUAGUACCCGGAGGAAGAGAAAGAAAAUUCGAUUCCCUUAGUAGCGGCGAGCGAAACGGGAAGAGCCCAAACCAACAAGCUUGCUUGUUGGGGUUGUAGGACACUCUAUACGGAGUUACAAAGGACGACAUUAGACGAAUCAUCUGGAAAGAUGAAUCAAAGAAGGUAAUAAUCCUGUAGUCGAAAAUGUUGUCUCUCUUGAGUGGAUCCUGAGUACGACGGAGCACGUGAAAUUCCGUCGGAAUCUGGGAGGACCAUCUCCUAAGGCUAAAUACUCUCUAGUGACCGAUAGUGAACCAGUACCGUGAGGGAAAGGUGAAAAGCACCCCGGAAGGGGAGUGAAAUAGAACCUGAAACCGUGUGCUUACAAGUAGUCAGAGCCCGUUAAUGGGUGAUGGCGUGCCUUUUGUAGAAUGAACCGGCGAGUUACGAUUUGAUGCAAGGUUAAGCAGUAAAUGUGGAGCCGUAGCGAAAGCGAGUCUGAAUAGGGCGUUUAGUAUUUGGUCGUAGACCCGAAACCAGGUGAUCUACCCUUGGUCAGGUUGAAGUUCAGGUAACACUGAAUGGAGGACCGAACCGACUUACGUUGAAAAGUGAGCGGAUGAACUGAGGGUAGCGGAGAAAUUCCAAUCGAACCUGGAGAUAGCUGGUUCUCUCCGAAAUAGCUUUAGGGCUAGCCUCAAGUGAUGAUUAUUGGAGGUAGAGCACUGUUUGGACGAGGGGCCCCUCUCGGGUUACCGAAUUCAGACAAACUCCGAAUGCCAAUUAAUUUAACUUGGGAGUCAGAACAUGGGUGAUAAGGUCCGUGUUCGAAAGGGAAACAGCCCAGACCACCAGCUAAGGUCCCAAAAUAUAUGUUAAGUGGAAAAGGAUGUGGCGUUGCCCAGACAACUAGGAUGUUGGCUUAGAAGCAGCCAUCAUUUAAAGAGUGCGUAAUAGCUCACUAGUCGAGUGACACUGCGCCGAAAAUGUACCGGGGCUAAACAUAUUACCGAAGCUGUGGAUUGUCCUUUGGACAAUGGUAGGAGAGCGUUCUAAGGGCGUUGAAGCAUGAUCGUAAGGACAUGUGGAGCGCUUAGAAGUGAGAAUGCCGGUGUGAGUAGCGAAAGACGGGUGAGAAUCCCGUCCACCGAUUGACUAAGGUUUCCAGAGGAAGGCUCGUCCGCUCUGGGUUAGUCGGGUCCUAAGCUGAGGCCGACAGGCGUAGGCGAUGGAUAACAGGUUGAUAUUCCUGUACCACCUAUAAUCGUUUUAAUCGAUGGGGGACGCAGUAGGAUAGGCGAAGCGUGCGAUUGGAUUGCACGUCUAAGCAGUAAGGCUGAGUAUUAGGCAAAUCCGGUACUCAUUAAGGCUGAGCUGUGAUGGGGAGAAGACAUUGUGUCUUCGAGUCGUUGAUUUCACACUGCCGAGAAAAGCCUCUAGAUAGAAAAUAGGUGCCCGUACCGCAAACCGACACAGGUAGUCAAGAUGAGAAUUCUAAGGUGAGCGAGCGAACUCUCGUUAAGGAACUCGGCAAAAUGACCCCGUAACUUCGGGAGAAGGGGUGCUCUUUAGGGUUAACGCCCAGAAGAGCCGCAGUGAAUAGGCCCAAGCGACUGUUUAUCAAAAACACAGGUCUCUGCUAAACCGUAAGGUGAUGUAUAGGGGCUGACGCCUGCCCGGUGCUGGAAGGUUAAGAGGAGUGGUUAGCUUCUGCGAAGCUACGAAUCGAAGCCCCAGUAAACGGCGGCCGUAACUAUAACGGUCCUAAGGUAGCGAAAUUCCUUGUCGGGUAAGUUCCGACCCGCACGAAAGGCGUAACGAUUUGGGCACUGUCUCAACGAGAGACUCGGUGAAAUCAUAGUACCUGUGAAGAUGCAGGUUACCCGCGACAGGACGGAAAGACCCCGUGGAGCUUUACUGUAGCCUGAUAUUGAAAUUCGGCACAGCUUGUACAGGAUAGGUAGGAGCCUUUGAAACGUGAGCGCUAGCUUACGUGGAGGCGCUGGUGGGAUACUACCCUAGCUGUGUUGGCUUUCUAACCCGCACCACUUAUCGUGGUGGGAGACAGUGUCAGGCGGGCAGUUUGACUGGGGCGGUCGCCUCCUAAAAGGUAACGGAGGCGCUCAAAGGUUCCCUCAGAAUGGUUGGAAAUCAUUCAUAGAGUGUAAAGGCAUAAGGGAGCUUGACUGCGAGACCUACAAGUCGAGCAGGGUCGAAAGACGGACUUAGUGAUCCGGUGGUUCCGCAUGGAAGGGCCAUCGCUCAACGGAUAAAAGCUACCCCGGGGAUAACAGGCUUAUCUCCCCCAAGAGUUCACAUCGACGGGGAGGUUUGGCACCUCGAUGUCGGCUCAUCGCAUCCUGGGGCUGUAGUCGGUCCCAAGGGUUGGGCUGUUCGCCCAUUAAAGCGGUACGCGAGCUGGGUUCAGAACGUCGUGAGACAGUUCGGUCCCUAUCCGUCGUGGGCGUAGGAAAUUUGAGAGGAGCUGUCCUUAGUACGAGAGGACCGGGAUGGACAUACCUCUGGUGUACCAGUUGUCGUGCCAACGGCAUAGCUGGGUAGCUAUGUGUGGACGGGAUAAGUGCUGAAAGCAUCUAAGCAUGAAGCCCCCCUCAAGAUGAGAUUUCCCAACUUCGGUUAUAAGAUCCCUCAAAGAUGAUGAGGUUAAUAGGUUCGAGGUGGAAGCAUGGUGACAUGUGGAGCUGACGAAUACUAAUCGAUCGAAGACUUAAUCAAAUU
Molecule: ribosomal RNA, 2926 nt
Filed under: Staphylococcus aureus
Lineage: Bacteria; Bacillati; Bacillota; Bacilli; Caryophanales; Staphylococcaceae
Description: bacterial LSU rRNA
Rfam family: Bacterial large subunit ribosomal RNA
Source: RNAcentral